GCCAAAAAAAGGGGGUACUUAUGUAUGGCAGAACGGGCCAACCUGGUCUUUCAUAAUAAAGAGAUAGACGGAACUGCUAUGAAACGGCUUAUUAGCAGAUUAAUAGAUCAUUUCGGAAUGGGAUAUACAUCCCAUAUACUGGAUCAAAUAAAGACUCUGGGCUUCCAUCAAGCCACUACUACAUCGAUUUCUUUAGGAAUCGAGGAUCUUUUAACAAUACCCUCUAAAGGAUGGUUAGUCCAAGACGCGGAACAACAGAGUUUUCUUUUGGAGAAACACUAUUAUUAUGGAGCUAUACACGCGGUAGAAAAAUUACGCCAAUCCGUUGAGAUAUGGUAUGCUACAAGUGAAUAUUUGAAACAAGAAAUGAAUUCGAAUUUUCGAAUAACGGAUCCUUCUAAUCCAGUCUAUCUAAUGUCUUUUUCAGGAGCCAGAGGAAAUGCAUCUCAGGUACACCAUUAGUAGGUAUGAGAGGGUUAAUGGCGGAUCCUCAGGACAAAUGAUUGAUUUACCUAUUCAAAGCAAUUUAACGCGAGGGACUUUCUUUGACAGAAUAUAUAAUUUCCUGCUACGGAGCCCGAAAAGGGGUUGUAGAUACUGCUGUACGAACAGCGGAUGCUGGCUAUCUACACGUAGACUUGUUGAAGUAGUUUCAACAUAUUAUUGUGCGUAGAAGAGAUUGUGGUACUAUCCAAGGUAUUUCUGUGAGUCCUCAAAAUGGAUGACGGAAAAACUUUUUGUCCAAACACUAAUUGGUCGUGAUUAGCAGACGAUAUAUAUUUGGUUCACGAUGCAUUGCUUCUCGAAAUCAAGAUAUUGGAAUUGGAUUAGUCAAUCGAUUCAUAACUGCCUUUCGAGCACAACCGUUUCGAGCACAACCAAUAUAUAUUAGAACCCCCUUUACUUGCCGGAGCACAUCUUGGAUCUGUCAAUUAUGUUAUGGGCGGAGUCCCACUCAUGGGAUCUGGUCGAAUUGGGGGAAGCUGUAGGUAUUAUUGCGGGUCAAUCAAUUGGGGAGCCGGGGACUCAAUUAACAUUAGAACUUUUCAUACUGGUGGAGUAUUCACAGGGGGUACUGCCGACCUUAUACGAUCCCCCUCGAAUGGAAAAUCCAAUUCAAUGAGGAUUUGGUUCACCCCACACGUACCCGUCAUGUGCAGCCUGCUUUCUUAUGCUAUAUAGACUUGCAUGUAACUAAUUCAGAGUCAGGAUAUUCUACAUAGUGUGAAUAUUCCGUUAAAAAGCUUGAUUCUAGUGCAAAAUGAUCAAUAUGUAGAAUCUGAACCAGUAAUUGCGGAGAUUCGUGGCCGGAACGUCCACUUGCAUUUUAAAGGAAAAAGGUACAAAGCAUAUUUAUUCCGAAUCAGACGGGGAAAUGCACUGGAGUACUGAUGUUUACCAUGCGCCCGAAUAUCAAUAUGGUAAUCUUCGUCGAUUACCAAAAACAAGCCAUUAUGGAUAUUGUCAGUAAGUAUGUGCAGAUCCAGUAUAGCAUCUUUUUCGCUGCACAAGGAUCAAGAUCAAAUGAAUACUUAUUCUUUUUCUGUUGAUGGAAGAUAUAUCUUUGACUUCUCAAUGGCUAAUGAUCAGUAAGCCAUAGACUGUUGGAUACUUUUGGUAAAAAGAUAGAGAAAUUCUUGAUUAUUUAACGCCAGAUCGAAUCGUGUUCAACGGUCCAUUGGAAUUGUUUCUAUCCUUCCAUUCUUCAAGAUAAUUCAGAUUUGUUGGCGAAAAAGCGAAGAAUAGGCUCGUCGUUUCCAUUACAAUAUCAUCAAGAACAAGAAAAAGAGCGAAUAUCCUGUUUGGGUAUUUCAAUGGAAAUACCCUUUAUGGGUGUUUUACGUAGAAAUACUAUUUUUGCUUAUUUUGACGAUCCACGAUACAGAAAAGAUAAAAGGGGUUCAGGAAUUGUUAAAUUUAGAUAUAGGACCCUGGAGGAGAAUAUCGGACCCAAGAGGAAGAGUAUAGGACUCGAGAGGAAGAAUAUCGGACUCGAGAGGAAGACUCAGAAGACGAAUAUGAGAGCCCAGAGAACAAAUAUAGGACCCGAGAGGGAGAGGGCGAAUAUAAAAUCCUAGAAGACGAAUAUAGGACUCUAGAGGACGAAUAUGAAACCCUAGAAGAUGAAUAUGGGAUCCUAGAGGACGAAUAUAGGACUCUAGAGAAAGACUCAGAGGAAGAAUAUGGGAGCCUAGAGAACAAAUAUAGGACUCGAGAGGGAGAGGGCGAAUAUGAAAUCCUAGAGGAAGAAUCAGAAGAAGAAUAUGGGAGCUCUGAAGAUGGCUCAGAGAAGGAAUAUGGGACUUUAGAAGAAGACUCAGAAGAAGACUCAGAGGAAGACUCAGAAGACGAAUAUGGGAGCCCGGAGGAAGAUUCUAUCUUAAAAAAAAGAGGGUUUUAUUGAGCAUCGAGGAACAAAAGAAUUUAGUCUAAAAUACCAAAAAGAAGUAGAUCGGUUUUUUUUCAUUCUUCAAGAACUGCAUAUCUUGCCGAGAUCCUCAUCCCUAAAGGUACUUGACAAUAGUAUUAUUGGAGUCGAUACACAACUCACAAAAAAUACAAGAAGUCGACUAGGUGGAUUGGUCCGAGUGAAGAGAAAAAAAAGCCAUACAGAACUCAAAAUCUUUUCCGGAGAUAUUCAUUUUCCUGAAGAGGCGGAUAAGAUAUUAGGUGGCAGUUUGAUACCACCAGAAAGAGAAAAAAAAGAUUCUAAGGAAUCAAAAAAAAAGGAAAAAAUUGGGUUUAUGUUCAACGGAAAAAAUUUCUCAAAAGCAAGGAAAAGUAUUUUGUUUCGGUUCGACCUGCAGUCGCAUAUGAAAUGGACGAAGGGAUAAAUUUAGCAACACUUUUCCCGCAGGAUCUCCUGCAAGAAGAGGAUAAUCUCCAACUUCGACUUGUCAAUUUUAUUUCUCAUGAAAAUAGCAAGUUAACUCAAAGAAUUUAUCACACGAAUAGUCAAUUCGUUCGAACUUGCUUAGUAGUGAAUUGGGAACAAGAAGAAAAAGAGGGAGCUCGUGCUUCUCUUGUUGAGGUAAAAACAAAUGAUCUAAUUCGCGAUUUCCUAAGAAUUGAGUUAGUCAAGUCUACUAUUUUGUAUACACGAAGAAGGUAUGAUAGGACAAGUGUAGGAUUGAUUCCCAAUAAUAGGUUAGAUCGCAACAAUACCAAUUCCUUUUAUUCCAAGGCGAAGAUUCAAUCACUUAGCCAACAUCAAGAAGUUAUUGGCACCUUGUUGAAUCGAAAUAAAGAAUAUCCAUCUUUGAUGAUUUUGUUGGCAUCCAACUGUUCUCGAAUUGGUUUAUUCAAGAAUUCUAAAUAUCCCAAUGCGGUAAAAGAAUCGAAUCCUAGAAUUCCUAUUCGAGAUAUUUUUGGGCUCUUAGGCGUUAUUGUACCUAGUAUAUCGAAUUUUUCUUCAUCUUACUAUUUAUUAACGCAUAAUCAGAUCUUGUUAAAAAAAUACUUGUUCCUUGACAAUUUGAAACAAACCUUACAAGUACUUCAAGGACUUAAAUACUCUUUAAUAGACGAAAAUAAAAGGAUUUCGAAUUUUGACAGUAACAUCAUGUUGGAGCCAUUCCAUUUGAAUUGGCACUUUCUCCAUCAUGACUCAUGGGAAGAGACAUUGGCAAUAAUUCACCUUGGACAAUUUAUUUGUGAAAAUUUAUGUCUAUUUAAAUUACACAUAAAAAAAUCUGGUCAAAUUUUCAUUGUUAAUAUGGACUCCUUUGUUCUAAGAGCAGCUAAGCCUUAUUUGGCCACUAUAGGAGCAACUGUUCAUGGUCAUUAUGGAAAAAUCCUUUACAAAGGAGAUAGGUUAGUUACGUUUAUAUAUGAAAAAUCGAGAUCCAGUGAUAUAACGCAAGGUCUUCCAAAAGUAGAACAAAUCUUCGAAGCGCGUUCAAUUGAUUCACUAUCGCCGAAUCUCGAAAGGAGAAUUGAGGAUUGGAAUGAACGUAUACCAAGAAUUCUUGGGGUUCCCUGGGGAUUCUUGAUUGGAGCUGAGCUAACCAUAGCCCAAAGUCGUAUCUCUUUGGUUAAUAAGAUCCAAAGGUUUAUCGAUCCCAAGGGGUACAGAUCCAUAAUAGACAUAUAGAGAUUAUUAUACGCCAAGUAACAUCAAAAGUAAGGGUUUCCGAAGAUGGAAUGUCUAAUGUUUUUUUACCUGGGGAAUUAAUAGGACUAUUGCGAGCGGAACGAGCAGGGCGGGCUUUAGAUGAAUCGAUCUAUUAUCGGGCAAUCUUAUUGGGAAUAACAAGGGCUUCCCUGAAUACCCAAAGUUUCAUAUCUGAAGCAAGUUUUCAAGAAACUGCUCGAGUUUUAGCAAAAGCUGCCCUACGAGGUCGUAUUGAUUGGUUGAAAGGUCUGAAAGAAAACGUAGUUCUGGGGGGGAUUAUACCUGUUGGUACCGGAUUCCAAAAUUUGUGCAUCGUUCCCCACAAGACAAGAACCUUUAUUUAGAAAUUCAAAAAAAAAAUCUAUUCGCGUCGGAAAUGAGAGAUAUUUUGUUUCUCCAUACAGAAUUAGUUUCUUCUGAUUCUGACGUAACAAACAAUUUCUAUGAAACAUCAGAGACCCCGUUUACCCCUAUUUAUACGAUUUAAGUAUACAUAAAGCAAUUUUUUUUACUUUAAUUUAAACUAUACUUUUGACCUUAGAAUGCUAACAGGUCUGAUUUUCGAUUUUGUACUUAAAUUUAAAUUGUAUUUUAAUAAGUAAAAGAAGUCAGUUAAUUCAUUAAGGCUAUGUUUAUACCGUGUAUCAAUGGUCAAGAAGGUUCCAUUGGAACAAUUAUUAUUUAUUUCAAGCUAUUUCGGCUCUUUCUUAUCUUCAAAAAGAAAUGAAUUCCGUAAUGGUAACACGAAAAAAGAAAAAAAAAGGAAGUGUGGAAAAAAUGACAAGAAGAUAUUGGAACAUCAAUUUGAAAGAGAUGAUAGAAGCGGGAGUUUCAUUUUGGUCAUGGUAUUAAGAAAUGGAAUCCCAAAAUGGCCCCUUACAUCUCGGCAAAGCGUAAAGGUACUCAUAUUACAAAUCUUGCUAGAACAGCUCGUUUUUUUAUCAGAAGCUUGUGAUUUAGUUUUUGAUGCAGCAAGUCAGGGAAAAAGCUUCUUAAUUGUUGGUACCAAAAAAAAGAGCAGCGGAUUUAGUAGCAUCAGCUGCAAUAAGGUCUCGUUGUCAUUAUGUUAAUAAAAAGUGGUUCAGCGGUAUGUUAACGAAUUGGUCGAUUACCAAAACUAGACUUUCUCAAUUUAGAGACUUAAGAGCAGAAGAAAAAAUGGGAAAAUUCCACCAUCUCCCAAAAAGAGAUGCGGCAAUCUUAAAGAGAAAAUUAUCUACCUUGCAAAGAUAUCUCGGCGGGAUCAAAUAUAUGACGAGGUUGCCUGACAUUGUGAUCGUCCUUGAUCAGCAAAAAAGAGUAUAUAGCUCUUCAGGAAUGUGCCAUUUUGGGGAUUCCUACUAUUUCUUUAGUCGAUACAAAUUGUGACCCAGAUCUUGCGAAUAUAUCGAUUCCUGCCAACGAUGACACUAUGACUUCAAUUCGAUUAUUCUUAACAAAUUAGUAUUUGCAAUUUCUGAGGGCCGUUCUCUCUAUAUAAGAAAUCGUUGAUUAAGAAGAAUAGUGAAUUCUUGAGCAACUGCGUAGAUUUAUAGGAUUAAUUACUAUUCUUUUUUGUUUUGCAUAGAUAAAAGAAGGGAAAUAUUGAUAUAUAUAUUAGAGGGUAUUGAUAUAUAUUAUGAUCUGAUGUGAUUUCUUGGUAUAUUAAAUAUAAGAUUAAUACUUCAAGUUGCUGAGUUGAGAAAGAGAUGCUUGAAUCAAAAGAAUUCCUUUUUUGAAGUUCAAUUUUUAUCAGAGGACAAUAUGAAUAUUACACCAUGUUCCAUUAAAACACUCAAGGGGUUAUAUGAUAUAUCGGGUGUAGAAGUAGGGGCAACACUUCUAUUGGCAAAUAGGAGGUUUCCAAAUUCAUGCCCAAGUACUCAUCACUUCUUGGGGUCGUAAUUACUAUUUUGCUAGGUUCAGUUAUCAUAGCUGUUCGGAAUCCACAAACCAUCCCGACCGAUGGUCAGAAUUUCUUCGAAUAUGUCCUUGAGUUUAUUCGAGACUUGAGCAAAACUCAGAUUGGAGAAGAAUAUGGUCCCUGGGUUCCCUUUAUUGGAACUAUGUUCCUUUUUAUUUUUGUUUCGAAUUGGUCAGGUGCUCUUUUACCUUGGAAAAUUAUAGAGUUACCCCAUGGGGAAUUAGCAGCGCCCACGAAUGAUAUAAAUACUACUGUUGCUUUAGCUUUACUAACAUCAGCGGCAUAUUUUUAUGCGGGUCUUAGCAAAAAAGGAUUGAGUUAAUUUCGAAAAAUAUAUUAAACCAACCCCAAUCCUUUACCUAUUAACCAUCCUAGAAGAUUUCACAAAACCAUUAUCACUUAGUUUUCGACUUUUCGGAAAUAUAUUGGCGGAUGAAUUAGUCGUUGUUGUUCUUGUUUCUUUAGUCCCCUUAGUAGUCCCUAUACCGGUCAUGUUUCUUGGAUUAUUUACAAGCGGUAUUCAAGCUCUUAUUUUUGCAACGUUAGCCGCAGCCUAUAUAGGUGAAUCCAUGGAAGGUCAUCAUUGAAUUAACUAGUUUUUGAAAUAGUCUUUCUUUUUUUAGCUUAGCCCAAUUCAUGCAUGAUUCCGGAUAAUCCUCUUAGUUGGAAAACUAAAUAGUUCGAAAGGCGUAUGAAUAUACAACCUAGAGUUGUAGGAGAGAGAAUAGACUAUAUUAUGGAAGAGGUAAAGUAUAUAUGCAUUCAGGGGGCCAAGUCAGGUUAGAUCUAUAUCUUUAAUGCCUAUAAGACAGUCAUCUUUUGUGUGGCUUUCUAAAGAAUGAUUUUAGAAUCGGAUUCAAUAGAAAAUGAGAAAAUAGGCAAACAAAAUAGAAGAAACAAAUGUAUAUGGGAUUUUUUUAUUCCUAAGUUAGAUUCAUUAUCUAAUCCGAUAUAUAGAAUUCCCUUCUAUAUGGAACUGGAUUCCAUAUCUAGUUCUAUGCAGCAUAUUGUUAUCAAUUGUAUAUCUUGAUUUGAUUCCUAUUGGAUUUGGAUUAGUUCGAUUUCAAUAGGGGUUCUUCCUGUAUUUCGUCUUUUAUUAUGUUAGAUGAAGGGGAAAAAAAUGGGAACUCAAAGAUAUCGAAGAGUAAAAAAAAGGAUGGAAUAAAAGAGUGAUUGGUUGAAAAGAAAGAGAAAUAGAAUAAUGAGAAUCAUAUGGAUUUACACAAACCUCUAAUGAUUAGAAACUAAAACGAGAUCUCGAAGUAAUUCGAACGAUUUCGAUUAUCAUUUAUUUGUACUUAUUAGUUACUUUCUACCCGAUAGAGCUUAGAAGUUGGAAGUAAUAAUUUCUUGGUUGAUUGUAUCCUUAACCAUUUCUUUUUUUUUGACACGAGGAACUCAUCAUGAAUCCACUAAUUGCUGCUGCUUCCGUUAUUGCUGCUGGAUUGGCCGUAGGGCUUGCUUCUAUUGGGCCCGGAGUUGGUCAAGGUACUGCUGCAGGACAAGCUGUAGAAGGUAUUGCGAGACAGCCAGAAGCAGAAGGUAAAAUAAGAGGUACUUUAUUGCUUAGUCUAGCUUUUAUGGAAGCUUUAAACAAUUUAUGGACUGGUUGUGGCACUAGCGCUUUUAUUUGCGAACCCUUUUGUUUAAUCCUAAAAAAGAAAAUGAGUCCUUUAGAUUAGAUACUUUUUUCUUUUUUUAGUACAUUGGCAUUUGCUUAUGUAAUUCUAAGUAUAUCAAUACUUUACUUUACUCCUAUUUAUUAUAUUAUUUCUUUUUUAUAUUAUUCCGGAAAUUUUGUAUUUAUCGGGACAGACAAUACCCUAGGAACCCCAAGAAGGGCUGAUUUGAGCAUGAUCAAUUUAGAGGAUAUGCUCGCCCUCUUCCUUCCCGUCCUUAGUUUAGGACAGUGGAAAGUAUUUUUCCUUUUAUUUUAGGAAUUUUGGGAACAUUUCAACAAAGGAGAUCUUUCACAGGUCAAACGAGACCUAAGACUUAAUCUAAAAGAAAUUAUUAGAUUGAAUCUAUUUGCAUUAAAAAAAACCGAUCAAAAAAGGACGAGCGAAGUAAGUAAUCGAAAAACUUUCUUCUUUGUUCGUCCUAUCUAUAAGAGGAGAGCAUAUGAAAAAUGUAACCCAUUCUUUUGUUUUUUUAGCUCACUGGCCAUUCGCUGGGAGUUUCGGGCUUAAUACCGAUAUUUAGCAACAAAUCUAAUAAAUCUAACUGUAGUGGUUGGUGUAUUGAUUUUUUUUGGAAAGGGAGUGUGUGCGAGUUGUCUAUUUCAAGAAUAGAUUGGAUCUAUCCGGCUGCACUUUAGAAUAUUUUUAGUAUUUUUUUUGAUAAAUAAGAAAAGGUGCACGAUCUCGACGAAUUACUUCUGAAUAACUUCAGAAAUCAUAUGGAAGAACCAUAGCAUUUCGCGAUUCAUUGGUAAAUUUACUUUGAUUCUCUAUAGACCAAUAAUGUGAGACCAUUAACACGGUUAAAGCUAAACUGCUUGAAGUCCGGGCAAAAAGGGGUACUCUUUCUACAACUACAUUAGUAUUAGUCUCGAAAUGCUUUAAACGGGAAAUAGCUAGUGUAGAAUUUAUCUGAUAUAGAACACUCAUAUCGAUAAAAUAGUUUGAACUAUUUACUAGAAGGGCACGCAGCCCUUUUUCCAAUGCCAAAUCGACGACCUAUGUAUAAAAAAAAGAGAAAUUUUUUGGAUUUGAAGAAAAAAUAAAAGGAAUUCUAUCAAUUUUUAUUUUCCAUUUAUUUAGUUAGUUUUUCUUAAUGAAAUUGAAAUUAUUAACUAACAGAGCAAACACAAAUAAAGAAACAACUUUGCUGACCAUGAUAGAUUUUUAUCUAGUUGGAAGAGUCCUCUUAAUAUUCAUCUAGUCUUAUAUAAGUUUGGGUAUAUAGAAAUACAAACAGAAAAGAGAGGAUAGAGGAUAGGCUCAUUACAUAAAAAAAAGAUAUGGAAAUAGCCAUAAUACAUAACAAAAAAGAAAAAAAGGAGCGGGAGAGCCAAAUGAAUCGAAAGAUUCAUGUUUGGUUCGGGAAGAGAUCAUAAAAAUUGUAAACUUAAUAGCAAGAUAAUCUACUUUCAUUAAAAGAUUUAUUAGAUAAUCGAAAACAGAGGAUUUUAAGUACUAUUCGAAAUUCGGAAGAAUUGCGUAAAGGGACCCUUGAACAACUCGAAAAAGCUCGUAUUCGAUUACAGAAAGUCGAACUGGAAGCAGAUGAGUAUCGAAUGAAUGGAUACUCUGAAAUAGAACGAGAAAAAGAAAAUUUGAUUAAUGCUACUUCUAUUAGUUUGGAACAAUUAGAAAAGUCUAAAAACGAAACCCUUUAUUUUGAAAAACAAAGGGCGAUGAAUCAGGUCCGACAACGGGUUUUCCAACAAGCUGUACAAGGAGCUCUAGGAACUCUGAAUAGUUGUUUGAAUACCGAGUUACAUUUCCGUACGAUUCGUGCUAAUAUUGGCAUUCUCGGGGCCAUAGAAUGGAAGAGAUAAUUCAAUUUAUUAGGUUUUGAACUUCUACUUUUGUUUAGAAUUUAGGCAUUAUUUUUCCCUUGCUUCCAAAAAAAAAAAAAUUAAAGAAACACUAAUGGCAACCCUUCGAGUCGACGAAAUUAAUAAAAUUCUCCGCGAACGUAUUGAACAAUAUAAUAGGAAAGUAGGGAUUGAGAAUAUCGGUCGCGUAGUGCAAGUGGGGGAUGGGAUUGCUCGUAUUAUAGGUCUUGGUGAAAUAAUGUCAGGUGAAUUAGUCGAAUUUGCAGAAGGGACGAGAGGUAUUGCUCUGAAUUUGGAAUCUAAAAAUGUUGGGAUUGUAUUAAUGGGCGAUGGGUUGAUGAUACAAGAGGGAAGUUUUGUAAAAGCAACAGGAAGAAUUGCUCAGAUACCCGUGAGCGAGGCUUACUUGGGUCGUGUUAUAAAUGCUCUCGCUAAACCUAUUGAUGGGAGAGGCGAAAUUGUCGCUUCAGAAUCUCGCUUAAUUGAAUCUCCUGCUCCGGGUAUAAUUUCUAGGCGUUCCGUAUAUGAACCCCUUCAAACAGGGCUUAUUGCUAUCGAUUCGAUGAUCCCCAUAGGGCGCGGUCAGCGAGAGUUAAUUAUUGGGGACAGACAGACUGGCAAAACAGCAGUAGCCACAGAUACAAUUCUCAAUCAAAAAGGUCAAGAUGUAAUAUGUGUUUAUGUAGCUAUCGGUCAAAGAGCAUCCUCCGUGGCUCAAGUAGUAACUACUUUCCACGAAGAGGGGGCCAUGGAAUACACUAUUGUAGUAGCUGAAAUGGCGGAUUCACCCGCUACAUUACAAUAUCUCGCUCCUUAUACGGGAGCAGCCCUGGCUGAGUAUUUUAUGUACCGCGAACGGCAUACCUUAAUAAUUUAUGAUGAUCUCUCCAAACAGGCACAAGCUUAUCGCCAAAUGUCCCUUCUAUUAAGAAGACCUCCCGGCCGCGAAGCUUAUCCAGGGGAUGUUUUUUAUUUGCAUUCACGCCUUUUAGAAAGAGCCGCUAAAUUAAUUCUCUUUUAGGCGAAGGGAGUAUGACCGCUUUACCAAUAGUGGAGACUCAAUCUGGAGACGUUUCCGCCUAUAUUCCUACUAAUGUAAUUUCAAUUACAGAUGGACAAAUAUUCUUAUCCGCGGAUCUAUUCAAUGCCGGAAUUCGACCUGCUAUUAAUGUGGGUAUUUCAGUUUCCAGAGUAGGAUCCGCAGCUCAAAUUAAAGCCAUGAAACAAGUAGCUGGCAAAUCAAAAUUGGAACUAGCUCAAUUCGCAGAAUUACAAGCCUUUGCACAAUUCGCCUCCGCUCUGGAUAAAACAAGUCAGAAUCAAUUGGCAAGGGGUCGACGAUUACGGGAAUUGCUUAAACAAUCCCAAUCAAACCCUCUCCCAGUGGAAGAGCAGGUAGCUACUAUUUAUACCGGAACGAGAGGAUAUCUUGAUUCGUUAGAAAUUGAACAGGUAAAGAAAUUUCUGGAUGAGUUACGUAAACACCUAAAAGAUACUAAACCUCAAUUCCAAGAAAUUAUAUCUUCUAGUAAGACAUUCACCGAGCAAGCAGAAACCCUUUUGAAGGAAGCUAUUCAGGAACAGCUUGAACGGUUUUCCCUUCAGGAACAAACAUAAAUAUAGCAUGUCUACUCUUAUUAGUAUAACUCGUGUUAGUAGAAGAGGAAUCAAAGAUUUUUCAUUUGAAUCAUGCAAAAUUUUUUUUCGUUUUUAGUAUAGUUAUUUAAAGAAUAGAUAGAAAAAAGAUUGCGUCCAAUAGGAUUUGAACCUAUACCAAAGGUUUAGAAGACCUCUGUCCUAUCCAUUAGACAAUGGACGCUUCUCUUUCUUAUUUUAUUCUUUCUUUUUAUAUUUCAGAGAAAUAAUAAAAAACUGUUAGACCGAAACUCUUUUAGGAAAGAAAAACAAAUCCAUAUACCAUAUACAAAUGGAUGAUACAUAUAUCAUAAAGAAGGAAUAUGGAGCAGGUAGUCAGUAUCGAACCCGUAACCCCAAGGUUAUGAGCUUUGUGAGCUACCAAACUGCUCCACCUUCUUAGCGGGAAACUAGUGGGUUGGAUAGGCCCCUCUACCAUAUCUAUACAAAUAGAAUAGUCCAUUUAUACAGAAUGGUAAAGAGGGCUCUUCUACGAUCAUCAAUUCGAGAAAACCAUACAAAUAUGAAAGAAAGGGUAUUUUAUCCUUACCAACUGGAUCUUGUUGCACCCGGUAACAAACAUGCAUAAACCAUUUCUCGAAGUAUGUGUCCGGAUAGCCCAAAGUCUCGAUAGUUAGCUCUAGGUCUUCCGGUUAAAAAACAACGUCGAUGAAGGCGUGUAGGUGCACUAUUACGUGGUAGGGAUUGCAAUUUUUCUUGCAUUUUUGUUUUUUCGCUCAAACUCAAAGGGGAAACUUUGCUUCUUAUCUUUUUUUUUGAGGAUCGACGAAUCAAAUGAUAUUUUUGUUCUAAUUUCUGCCGCUUCUUCUCCCUCUGAAUCAAACUUUUUUUUGCCAUAAUGUGCCGUUCCUAUUAUUACCAAGUAUAUGGUUCUAAUCCUAGAUAGAAAAAAUAAAUAGCAAAAAUCUAAAAAGGCGGAUCCUCCCUCUCCAUCAAGAGUAAUGAACUGGGUUCUGAUACAGUACAAAAAAAAAAUAACUAAAUUAACCAAACUUGCCUGAUGUUGAGGCAAUCAAGAAAGCUGCAUAAGUGAAUAUAUAACCCACGGAAAAGUGGGCUAAUCCGACCAAUCUUGCUUGCACAAUGGAAAGAGCCACGGGCUUAUCUCUCCAGCGAAUUAAAUUAGCCAAAGGUGUCCGUUCAUGAGCCCAUGCUAAAGUCUCAAUUAAUUCCUGCCAAUAUCCACGCCAGGAAAUUAAGAACAUAAAUCCUGUAGCCCAAACAAGAUGUCCAAAUAAGAACAUCCAAGCCCAUACUGAUAAACUAUUCAUCCCAAAAGGAUUAUAUCCAUUAAUAAGUUGUGAAGAGUUUAACCAUAGGUAAUCUCUUAACCAUCCCAUCAAAUAAGUGGAGGAUUCAUUAAAUUGUGAAACGUUGCCCUGCCAUAAUGUAAUGUGUUUCCAAUGCCAAUAAAAAGUAACCCAUCCAAUGGUAUUUAACAUCCAGAAAACUGCCAAAUAAAACGCGUCCCAAGCAGAAAUAUCACAAGUACCGCCGCGCCCUGGGCCGUCGCAAGGAAAACUAUACCCGAAAUCCUUUUUAUCCGGCAUUAAUUUGGAACCGCGUGCAUCUAAAGCACCCUUUACUAAAAUCAAUGUAGUUGUAUGCAAACCUAGAGCAAUAGCAUGAUGAACCAAGAAAUCCCCAGGUCCUAUUGUUAAGAAAAGCGAAUUACUAUUCUCAUUAACAGCAUUCAACCAUCCGGGCAACCAUAUGUUUCGACCUGCAUUGAAAGCGGGGCCAUUCGUUGAAGAUAAGAGUAUAUCGAACCCAUAUGUCGUCUUACCAUGAGCAGAUUGUAUCCAUUGGGCAAAUAUAGGUUCAAUCAAGAUUUGCUUUUCUGGAGUACCAAAAGCAAGCAUAACGUCGUUAUGAACAUAAAGGCCCAAGGUAUGGAAUCCUAGGAAGAGGCUAGCCCAACUUAAAUGAGAUAUGAUAGCUUCCUUAUGGUCUAACAUUCUUGCCAAUACAUUAUCUUCAUUCUGUUCCGGAUUGUAAUCCCUAAUGAAAAAAAUAGCUCCAUGAGCAAAAGCCCCUGUCAUGAUGAACCCUGCAAUGUAUUGGUGAUGAGUAUAUAAAGCAGCUUGAGUAGUAAAGUCUUGUGCUAUGAAUGCAUAAGCAGGUAAAGAGUACAUAUGUUGAGCUACUAAGGAAGUAAUAACCCCUAAGGAAGCUAGAGCAAGGCCUAAUUGAAAAUGAAUCGAAUUAUUGAUUGUAUCAUAAAGGCCUUUAUGCCCACGUCCUAAUCGACCCCCCGGAGGAGUAUGUGCUUCUAAAAGAUCUUUGAUACUGUGCCCAAUUCCGAAGUUAGUUCGAUACAUAUGACCGGCAAUGAGAAAAAUAAAUGCAAUAGCUAAAUGAUGAUGAGCAAUAUCGGUCAGCCACAAACUUUGUGUUUGUGGAUGGAAUCCCCCAAGAAGGGUCAGAAUGGCAGUUCCCGCUCCUUGAGUGGUACCAAAUAAAUGAUUACUCGAAUCAGGAUUUUGGGCAUAAAGAUUCCACUGACCCGUCAGAAGGGGACCCAACCCCUGGGGAUAGGGUAAUACAUCUAAGAAAUUAUUCCAUCGAACGUACUCCCCCCUGGAUCCGGGAAUAGCAACAUGAACUAAAUGUCCUGUCCAAGCCAAAGAACUUACUCCGAAAAGUCCUGACAAAUGAUGAUUCAGACGAGAUUCGGCGUUUUUGAACCACGAAAGGCUUGGCUUCCAUUUGGGUUGUAGAUGUAACCAACCCCCUAUUAAGGAUAGCGUAGAAAGAAAUAAUAGAAAAAGAGCUCCAGUAUAAAGAUCUUCAUUGGUGCGCAAUCCAAUUGUAUACCACCACUGAUAAACCCCAGAAUAAGCGAUAUUCACUGGACCGGCAGCACCUCCUCGAGUAAAGGCUUCCACAGCGGGUUGCCCAAAAUGAGGAUCCCAAAUGGCAUGAGCAAUAGGUCUUACGUGUAAAGGAUCCUGUAUCCAUGAUUCAAAAUUUCCUUGCCAAGCUACAUGAAACAGAUUUCCGGACGUCCAUAGAAAGAUUAUUGCUAACUGCCCAAAGUGAGAAGCAAAAAUGUUCUGAUAAAGACGUUCCUCAGUAAUAUCAUCAUGACUUUCGAAAUCAUGUGCGGUAGCAAUACCAAACCAAAUACGACGAGUAGUGGGGUCCUGAGCUAAGCCUUGGCUAAACCUGGGAAAUCUUAAUUCCAUAAUGCCUUUCAAAUCCUCCUAGCCACUAUCCUACUGCAAUAAUUCUCGCUAAGAAGAAUGCCCAUGUUGUGGCAAUUCCACCCAGAAGGUAAUGGGUUACUCCUACAGCACGUCCUUGUAUAAUGCUCAAGGCUCUAGGCUGAGUAGCAGGAGCAACUUUUAAUUUGUUAUGAGCCCAAACGAUAGAUUCAAUGAGUUCUUGCCAAUAACCACGGCCGCUGAAUAAAAACAUUAAACUGAAAGCCCAGACAAAAUGAGCGCCUAAGAAAAAAAGACCAUAUGCAGAUAAUGAAGAACCAUAAGACUGAAUUACUUGGGAUGCCUGUGCCCACAAGAAAUCUCGAAGCCAACCAUUAAUCGUAAUGGAACUCUGCGCAAAGUUUCCCCCUGUGAUAUGAGUUACUAUCCCUUGAUCACUUAUAGUACCCCAAACAUCCGACUGCAUUUUCCAACUGAAAUGGAAAAUGACUACCGAAAUAGAAUUGUACAUCCAGAAUAGACCUAAGAAAACAUGAUCCCAGGCGGAUACUUGACAUGUUCCCCCUCGCCCAGGUCCGUCGCAAGGGAAGCGAAAGCCAAGAUUUGCUUUAUCAGGUAUCAGACGGGAACUGCGAGCAAAUAAAACACCUUUCAAAAGUAUUAAUACAGUCACAUGGAUGGUAAAUGCGUGAAUGUGAUGGACUAAAAAAUCUGCGGUUCCUAAUGGAAUAGGUAACAAAGCUACUUUGCCGCCUAUAGCUACUAACUCGCCGCCUCCCCACGUUAAGCUGGUACUUGUUGUUGCACCAGGAGCUGUUACGCCAGGCGCGCCAGCAUGGAUAUUUUGUAUCCAUUGAGCAAAGAUGGGUUGUAAUUGUAUGGCGGUAUCCGAAAACAUAUCUUGGGGACGGCCUAAAGCACUCAUGGUAUCAUUAUGAAUGUACAAGCCAAAACUGUGAAAACCCAGAAAUAUACAUACCCAGUUAAGGUGGGAUAUGAUUGCAUCGCGGUGUCUAAGGACGCGAUCUAAUAGAUCGUUGUAUCGAGUAGUUGGAUCAUAGUCUCUUACCAUAAAAAUGGCUGCAUGUGCAGCAGCACCAACUAUUAGAAAUCCGCCAAUCCACAUGUGGUGUGUGAACAAGGAAAGUUGUGUACCGUAGUCAGUAGCUAGGUAUGGAUAGGGGGGCAUAGAGUACAUAUGAUGAGCUACAACAAUAGUUGUAGAGCCUAGCAUAGCUAGGUUAAGAGAUAAUUGAGCAUGCCAUGACGUUGUUAGGAUUUCAUAGAGACCUUUAUGGCCUUGUCCUGUAAAUGGGCCCUUAUGAGCCUCCAAAAUAUCUUUAAGUCCAUGACCAAUACCCCAAUUGGUCCUAUACAUAUGACCAGCGAUCAGGAAAAGAAUAGCAAUAGCUAAAUGAUGGUGUGCAAUAUCGCUCAACCAUAGACCACCGGUUAUUGGAUCUAGUCCUCCGCGAAAACUAAGAAAUUCCGCAUAUUUGGACCAAUUCAAGGUGAAAAAAGGGGUUGCUCCUUCGGCAAAACUAGGAUAAAGUUGAGCCAAAAGGUCGCGAUUCAAGAUAAAUUCAUGAGGAAGUGGUAUCUCUUUAGGAUCAACCCCAGCGUCGAGAAAUUGGUUAAUCGGUAAAGAUACAUGGAUUUGGUGUCCCGCCCAAGAAAGAGACCCAAGUCCUAAUAAUCCCGCUAAGUGGUGAUUCAACAUGGAUUCUACAUCUUGGAACCAGGCCAAUUUGGGAGCGGCUUUGUGAUAAUGGAACCAACCGGCAAAAAGCAUUAACGAUGCAAAAAUCAAUGCACCAAUUGCGGUACAAUAGAGUUGUAAUUCACUAGUUAUUCCGGAUGCUCGCCAAAUCUGAAAAAAACCAGAGGUUAUUUGGAUUCCUCGGAAACCCCCGCCUACAUCACCAUUCAAAAUUUCUUGUCCUACUAUUGGCCAAACUACCUGAGCACUGGGUCCAAUGUGAGUAGGAUCGCUUAGCCAUGCUUCAUAAUUGGAAAAACGGGCACCGUGGAAGUACAUGCCACUCAACCAAAGAAAGAUAAUGGAGAGUUGGCCGAAAUGAGCACUAAAGACUUUUCGGGAGAUCUCCUCCAAAUCACCGGUAUGACUAUCGAAAUCGUGAGCAUCAGCAUGUAGGUUCCAGAUCCAAGUGGUAGUAUCGGGGCCCUUAGCUAUUGUUCUUGAGAAAUGCCCGGGUCUGGCCCAUUCCUCAAAAGAUGUUUUUAUAGGAUCCCUAUCCACAGCAAUUUUAACUUCUGGUUCCGACGAACGAAUAAUCAUUAAGUCCUCCUCUUUCCGGACAAGACAUACAAAGAGACCCGCCAACUGUCUUUUUAUUGAAUCUUUUAAAGAUAGAUAUUAUGAUUAGUCCUUUUCUUUACUAUCUACCGUCCUUCUAUUUUUUUUUUUUAGUUAUUCACUGGAGCAAUUAUAUAUUGAAGUCAAUCCGAGGCAAGUGUUCGGAUCUAUUAUGACAUAAGGAUUAGGUGCCUAACGGACAUUGGUUAUUCUGGAAAAUUAUUUCCCGACAUAACAAAAAAAUCUUUUUUUACGUUUUAAUUUAAGAAGCUGGUGUAUUUUUUUUCUGAGGGUAUAAGCCCCUAUCUACAUCUACUUUCCUUGAGUGAGCAUAAUAUAGAUUUUUUGAUUCGAUUCAAAAUUCCAAGAUAACUCAUUAGAAUUAUUAAUAAGACCGUCCUGAUAUAUUAGGUAGGAAUAUUUAGAUUGCCGAUUUUUAUGUACUUUAUUACUUCUGUUCCAGAGCCUAUCCCUAUUGUUUAUCCUUAUGAAAUAUGAUAUAAAAUUGAAGGUAGAAGAAAGGGAUAUAAUGAAAUUCUUGAUUUGAUUUUCAACCAAACCACCCUUUUUAUGAAAAUGGAGAGUGGUCUUAUUCAAAUUCAAAGCGCUUCGUAAUCUUUAACCAGUUCUGUGCUUCAAUAUAAUUUCCUGGAGUAAGCGCUAUAGCUUGUUUCCAAUACUCAGCAGCUUGAUCAAACCAAGCUUCCGCAAUUUCCGAAUCGCCCUGUAGAAUGGCCUGUUCUCCUCGGUUGGAAUAGGCAGUUCCUUUCCCUAGAACCGUACUUGAGAGUUUCCUACCUCAUACGGCUCAGAAAUUGCUAUCUUAAUUUCCCCUAUCUUAACUGAAUUCGAUUUCUCAAAAAUCAAUCCAAUUUCUUCUUGGGUUAAGCAGAAGAAGUUAAUUACCUAAGUUUCAAACCCUAAUUUUGAUCAAUAAUCAGUUUGAUCUUUUCUCCCACCUUCAGAAGAAUGAAGCAUAGAUAGACCUAUAUCCUUCGUUCGAAUUUUCUGAAAGGUAACUAUCUCGGUUUCGUUUCUUUCAUAUAUGAAAUUUCUAUAGAAUCCUGGAAAAAGACCUUUUUCCAUAAGAAAGAAAAAAGAACUUACUAUCUUUGGGAUCUGAUACUACACCGCUGCUUAAUCCCUUAGUGGAUCGGCUUUAUUACAUAAGCGGAUUCCUAAAUUUUGUCCCAUAUCGUGGUAUAAUGAAGCAGUUUUUUUUAGUUGUAUCGACCCAGUCGCUCACUAAUUGAUCUUUACGGUGUUUUCUCUAUCAAUUUCAGCUUUAUCCAUAGAAUAGUAGUAUAGGCUCUACUUUCUUCCUAUUUUGAUUCUCGUGAAGUGUCCUUCCUUCCUACAGCUGAUAGGGUAAAAUCGUUGUUUUGACGAUCCCUAUGUAGAAAGCCCUCUUUUCUAGUAUUCACUAGAAAAUUUCCUCCUUUCUUUUUUUUCUUCUUUCUAUAGUGGAGAUAGUCGCACGUAAUGACAGAUCACGGCCAUAUUAUUAAAAGCUUGCGGUAAGAAGGGGUUUCGUUCUAGCGCCCGGAAAUAAUAUUCCAAAGCCUUUGUAUGCUCUCCAUUGCUUGUGUGUAUAAGGCCUAUGUUAUAUAGUAUAUAACUUCGAUCAUAGGGAUCAAUUUCUAGUCGCGUAGCUUCAUAAUAAUUCUGCAAAGCUUCCGCAUAAUUUCCUUCGGAUUGAGCCAACAUCCGUUACGGUCGUUCAUUCUAUUCAAAAAAUCUCCGUUCCAAAACCGUACAUGAGGUUUUCAUCUCAUACGGCUUCUCCCUUCUAUACAUAGUACUAAGCGAAAAAUCUAUAGAAUAAAAAUCGAAUUAGUCCCAUCUCAUUAUGGACCGAAGGGGGCUGGUAUUUUUCCAAGAAAUCUCUAGCCAACCUUCCCCCAAGAGGUUUUUCUUAACACCAAUGAAUUAUAUUAAUGCUAGAGGAAAACGAUAGCUCCAAGAAUUUCUUUGUUCUCAACGCCUCCUAUUUAGAGGAAUUAGCCACUUCAACGACCUUUGAUGGUUAUAAGGGUAUCCAAAGUACAAACCUGAUGGUUGUUUGUUAUCCCAACCAUUCUUCCCAACCCUGAUACCAAUCAGGAAAGGGCUAAUUUCUAACAAAGUUUUUCUCUUGUUGAUUCCUAUUUCGUGGUGUAGUGCUUUUCUCCCCUAUGCUGCCUAUUGGUACUAGUAGAGUCGGAUUGCCCUGUAAUACAGAACCUAUCCUGUAGGUGUAACCUUUCGCUCAAUACUCAAAUCUACAAUUGAAGCAUCUGAGGCCACAUCAAUCGAGGAUACACGACAGAAGGAAUUGUUAGUUCACCUCACCUUCCCCAAGCGCGGGUUUCCUUUACUAAUUUUGUUCUCUCUAUGCGAACCCUCUCUCUUUCUCGUAAGAAUGAGAUAUAGGUAGGGCUAAAAAAAAAAAGAGUCAAAUCGCACCAUCUCUAUAAUAAGUAAAUGCCCUUUUUUCCCCGGAGGUUGUCGGAAUUAUUUGCAAUAAAAUAUUGGCUACAAUCGAGGAGGUCUUAUCAAUGAAAUUUCCAUUUAUACGGGAUCUAGGCAUAAUUCCCAACCCAUUCUAUAUAGAAUUCUUUUCAUUCUAUCACAAAAUAACAUAAAAACAAAACAUUCGAUUCUUAUAAAUCGAUCCAUAUGCUCUAAAUGGAUAAGAGAGAUAUGGAUUUUCCGCUCAGCUCAAAUUGUCUCCUUUUCCUUCUGUUUGGACAAGAAGAGAAGAGAUAUGAAAUAUUUGACUAAGACUGGAUUUCAUUCCACUUUCCUAUUUCUCAACAACAACUUCCCUCAUCAGCUAUUUCGCGUUUUCAAAGUCAUUAAUUGCCCCAUACCCCUUUUAUAUUUAGAUUGUAUGGCGUAAUGUACCUUAUGCAAAUGGAAUUCUAGGGUUCCUUUAUUUUCUUAUGGAAUAAGAAGAAUUCUUCCAUUCUCUUUUUAUUUUGGUUUUCCCCAAAGAAAAACUUUUCGAGGGAGCAGAAUUCCUAGUAAAAAAAUACAGGAUCCUUCCACUUAGAUGAAAAGGAAUUUUUCCAUCCAAUCCAAUAGAGCCAUGGAAUUCCCGAGCCGUUGUGGCUGUACCUGUACUGCAGGAAUACGAAAACUCGCUAUUCACUCAGUUUAUUUUCCAUAAUAAGAUUAUGUAGGAGAGAUGGCCGAGCGGUUCAAGGCGUAGCAUUGGAACUGCUAUGUAGACUUUUGUUUACCGAGGGUUCGAAUCCCUCUCUUUCCGUUUCUCUUAAUUCAUCAAUGUUAGCGAUCACAAUGUAUCAAAUUAAAUAACAAUUUAUUCCAACAAUAAUACCUUUAAUUAAUAGAAAUUCUCUAUAGCAAAUUACUGUGGUAUGUAAAAUACACAUCGAGGAAAUAACAAAAAAGAAAAAAGUAUCCUAGGGUUAAUCUAUUUCUGCUAGGUGAACGGGAAAAUACGAAUUAAGAGCCUUAGGUCGAUUUAGUUCGGGGAAAGGGGAAGGGGAAAAAAAUUCUAUGAACCUUUCCUUUUUUCGUUAAGUUCAAGUCUGGCGAGAAUAAUAUUCUACAACUAACAACUCAUUUAUUUUGAGACCGACCCACUUCCUAUCUAGAAUUUUUUUUACUAGUCCUUUAUAUUGCAAUGUGUCAACCGUCAAAUGCUUUGGUAAUUUGCCCGGAUCGGAUGAAGCAAUAUAAUUUUGAACCAAACGUUUUGAUCGUUGGUUAUCCUUCGUAGUAAUAAUAUCUCGGGGUUUGCAACGAAAGCUUGGUAUAUCAACUAUACGACCAUUAACUAAAAUAUGUCUAUGGUUAACUAAUUGUCGGGCCCCAGGAAUGGUUGAAGCCAUACCCAAUCGAAAAAGGAUAUUAUCCAAACGCAUUUCAAGUAAUUGUAGUAAAACCUGACCUGUGGAUCUUUUUGCUUUUCCAGCGAUAUGUACAUAUCUAAGUAAUUGUCGUUCUGUCAGACCAUAAUGAAAACGCAAUUUCUGUUUUUCUUGAAGACGAAUACGAUAUUGCUCUUUUUUCCCAGAAUGGAAUUUCUUUUUCUGAUUACUUCCGGAUUUAGGCGUUUUUCUAGUGAGUCCUGGUAAAGCUCCCAGACGGCGUAUUUUUUUUAAACGAGGCCCUCGAUAACGGGACAUGAAGACUCCUUUUUUAUUUUAUUGAAAUUUCAUUUUACACAAUAAAUUUCGUUCUAUUUACAUUACAGAAUACAGCGAAAUUCAAACAGAAUUAAACUAAAGGAUAAACAGAGUAAAAUCUACUAAAGUAACACAAAAAAUGGAGUAACACAAAAAAUGGAAUUUCAUCAACAUCUGGAUUUUUUGUAUAUAUAUUAUUUAUUUUUAUGCUUUGUAUCUAGCAAAAUUGUAAGGUAAAACGACAUAAUAGACCCUGGAUUCCCCAUUUUAUUCGGAGAAAAAGAGAAAUUCUUGUUCAUAGAACAUCGAUAGAAAAAAAAGCCGACUAUCGGAUUUGAACCGAUGACCCUCGCAUUACAAAUGCGAUGCUCUAACCUCUGAGCUAAGUGGGCUUACAUAACAGAAAUAGUGUAACAAAUAAAAAUAUAUAUAGGGAAUCUGUAAAAUGUCAGAUCUUAAUUAUUAAUCUUAGUUAUUAACUAGUUCUAAAUUGGAAGUUCCACUUAGAUAGAAAAAAAAAAAUACUAGAAUUUCAUAAAGAUAAAGUUAGCUUGAUAUGCUUAACUAAAUGAUAUUCUUAAAUAGGAUUAUAGAAUUUAUUGAACUUUCUUUUUAUUUCUCUAAUUCGCAAAUGGAUUUUUUUAAUAGAAUCUAUUCCAAAUUCUAUAUUGAAUUUGAUUUCAGAUAUUUUCAAUUUGAUAUGGCUCGGAGGAAUAAUCUAAUACAUAGAAAAGAAGAAAAAGAAGAAUAUAUAUGAAUAAUAUAAUAAAGAGAAAAUGCCAAGAGAUUGGCAUUUUCAUUUGAUCAUUAUAUACAUUUUUGAGAUAUUUUGUUUUUUAUUUGUUAAUAAUUUAAGGAUAAAUAGUUCACUAAGGAGAAGAUAGAAUCAUAGCAAAUGAAAUUUCUAAUUCAGUUUAGAAAAAAAGAAUGAAUAUCAAGCGUUAUAGUAUGAUUUGGAAUACUCUAAAAAAGGAAGGAGGGAGGCGGGAGAGAGAAAAACUUUUGGAUAUAUUCAUUCCGAUUGAAUUGCAAAUAUAUCAACGAUAAAAUCAAUGCAAUUCUGAAUUGCAAUAAGCGAGCGGGGUGUCUCAAAUAGAGAUGAGUUGCUAGACUACGUCGAAUAAUGAAUUCAAUGAUUCAAAAAAAACUAAGAGAUGGAUUAAAUUAUACAAGGAAUCCUGGUUUCAAAGAAAAGUAAAAUGGGGAUAUGGCGAAAUCGGUAGACGCUACGGACUUGAUUGUAUUGAGCCUUGGUAUGGAAACCUGCUAAGUGGUAACUUCCAAAUUCAGAGAAACCCUGGAAUGAAAAAUGGGCAAUCCUGAGCCAAAUCCCUUUUUUGAAAAACAAGUGGUUCUCAAACUAGAACCCAAAGGAAAAGGAUAGGUGCAGAGACUCAAUGGAAGCUGUUCUAACGAAUCGAAGUAAUAACGAUUAAUCACAGAACCCAUAUUAUAAUAUAGGUUCUUUAUUUUAUUUUUAGAAUGAAAUUAGGAAUGAUUAUGAAAUAGAAAAUUCAUAAUUUUUUUUUAGAAUUAUUGUGAAUCUAUUCCAAUCAAAUAUUGAGUAAUCAAAUCCUUCAAUUCAUUGUUUUCGAGAUCUUUUAAUUUUUAAAAGUGGAUUAAUCGGACGAGGAUAAAGAGAGAGUCCCAUUCUACAUGUCAAUACUGACAACAAUGAAAUUUCUAGUAAAAGGAAAAUCCGUCGACUUUAUAAGUCGUGAGGGUUCAAGUCCCUCUAUCCCCAAACCCUCUUUUAUUCCCUAACCAUAGUUGUUAUCCUUUUUUUCUUUUAUCAAUGGGUUUAAGAUUCACUAGCUUUCUCAUUCUACUCUUUCACAAAGGAGUGCGACAAGAACUCAAUGAAUCUUAUGCUAUUCAUUAAAUAGAUGAUUUCUUUUUUAUUUCUUUUUUAUUUAUUAGAGUAGAGUAUCGGCAAGGAAUCUCGAUUAUUAAUUCGUUUUUUUUAAGUAUUAUUAAGUAAGCCAUCCACAAUGCAUAGGACUACCCCUCCCCAUUUCCUAAUUUUGAAUGGAAUACUUUAUUGAUUUUUUAGUCCCUUUAAUUGACAUAGAUGCAAAUACUUUACUAAGAUGAUGCACAAGAAAGGGUCAGGAUAGCUCAGUUGGUAGAGCAGAGGACUGAAAAUCCUCGUGUCACCAGUUCAAAUCUGGUUCCUGGCACAGAAAAAAAGGAUCUACUGAAUAGAUAUUGAUACAAAUAUUUUGAGAUGGAUUGGGGUAAAUAUUUAUUAAAAAUCUACUUAGUCUUUAGUCUAGAGUAAGUAGAUAAAUCUCUAGAGUAAGUAGAUAAAUCUCUAAACACUUCUUUUUCUUUUAAAAAAAGGGUUUAAAUCUCUGGUUCUUUAUGGUAUAGAAAGAGGUGAGAUUAGGUGCCCUUUUCUUCAUUUUGCAUUUCUUAUUAAUUUUGUAUACCGCUAUUCCGAAGAAUAUAUUUUUUUUUAUUCUUGCUUAUCCUACUUUCCCAGUUGUUCUAAGUAAUAUGCGCGGUACAAAGUUCGUGGUAGGAACUUCUUUGAGUCAUUGUAUUUUUCUGUUCAUACGAAGGAAACAAAUAUGUGAUUUUCCAAAUUGGAAAAUAGAAAUGAAGCCCUUUUUGUUCAGUCUAUCUGGACCUUUUUGUAUAAUAGGAAUUAAUUAGAAUAUUAUAUUCUAAGUAUUUCGUUUCGUCUAGGAACAGAACGUCAAAAUAUUCCUUGACUUGAAUAAAAUCUGGAAUUGUGUUGUAUAAGUGAACAUGAAUUUAUUAUCACUCAAUGAGCAUCUUGUAUUUCAUAGAAAUUGGGGGUUAUAUAGUCCUUACGUAAGGGCCAGCCUAUCCAACUUUCAGGCAUUAAGAUACGUUUAAGACGUGGAUGAUUAUCAUAAGAAAUUCCCACCAUAUCAUAAGAUUCGCGUUCUUGAAAAUCGGCACUUCUCCAAACCCAGAAAACAGACGGGAUUCUAGGAUUAUCCUUUUGGGCAAAGACUUUUAUGCAUACCUCUUCUGGGUUAUCUAUACCAUACUGUAUUCUCGUAAGAUGAUACACGCUAGCUAAAGAUCCACCGGGUGCUACGUCAUAAGCACAUUGGGAACGUAAAUAAUUGUAACCAUAUACAUAUAAAAUGACAGCAAUGGAAUCCCAAUCCCCCGCUUUUAUUUGUAAAGUCUCUACUCCUCGAUGAUCGAAGCCCAAAGACCUAUGAACCACGUCAUGUUUAACUAGCCAAUUAGAUAACCAACCCUGCUGCAUUGUCUUGAUCUCUCCCCCUUUGUAUAAAUAUUUCACAUUUCAAAUGCAAGUUUGAAAGAUUGUACUGCUCUUUUCUUUCUUUUUCUGCACAAAAGAACCCCUCCUAAUUCACUAAUUUGUAGGAAGAUACUGAACUUUUGGAUUUGAAAAAAGUUUCAGAAGAUAUAUCUAAAGUAGAUGGUGAUUGAUAGAGCAAUUCUUGUUCGUAAGUUCCAGUGUGAGUACUGCGCCGAACAUAAAGUUUGUGACGGGUAGUAAAAGAUCUAUUUUUCUUUUGACUUUGACAUAGAGUUCGAUCCUCAAUUAUUUCUCGCGCUAUCUUCUUACGAAGUUUUGUUAGGGCAUCUAUAACAGCCUCUGGUUUAGGCGGGCAACCCGGCAGGUAGACGUCCACAGGAAUUAACUUAUCAACUCCUCGAACAGUACUAUAGGAAUCUGUACUGAACAUGCCCCCUGUAAUAGUACAGGCUCCCAUAGCAAUGACGUAUUUCGGUUCAGGCAUUUGCUCAUAUAAUCGCACUAAAGAUGGAGCCAUUUUCAUUGUUACCGUACCAGCUGUUAAAAUUAGGUCCGCUUGUCUAGGACUUGAUCUUGGUACCAAUCCAUAACGAUCAAAGUCGAAUCGUGAGCCUAUUAAUGAAGCAAAUUCAAUGAAACAACAACUGGUACCAUAUAGAAGGGGCCAUAAACUUGAGAGUCUUGACCAAUUUGAAAGAUCGUUUGGUGUAGUUGAAAUAACGGAAUUGGAACUUGUUUGGUCGAGUAACGGAAACUCAAUCAAACUCAUAAUUGUCUCAAUGGAAUCUUUUCCUUCUUUUUUUUUUUUUUCUGAAUAUUCAGUUAAGACCAUUCCAAGGCUCCUUUUCGCCAUGCAUAAACUAAACCAACAACUAGGAUAAGCACAAAAAUGAAAGCUUCGAUAAAAACGGAUACACCCAAUACGUCGAAACUCAUUGCCCAAGGGUAGAGAAAGACUGUUUCCACAUCAAAAACAACAAAAACUAGCGCAAACAUGUAAUAGCGUAUUCGGAAUUGUAACCAAGCCCCCCCCAUGGGUUCUAUACCCGAUUCAUAACUAGAAAGCUUCUCUGGUCCUUCACUAACCGGGGCUAAAAGUCCUGAAAUCCAAAAUACCAAAAUAGGAAUAAGGCUUGCUAUUAUUAGAAAUGUCCAAAAAAUAUCAUAUUCGUGAAGCAGAAACAUAAAUGUACUCCCAUUAAUGUGGAAUAGGCGGAACUGAAUUAGUCAAUUCAAGUUGACAUUGUCAAUUUAUCCAGAACUUCUCUCUUUUCCUCGGUGAAACAAGAAUCUGUUUUGCUCAAACCAAAGGCAAGGAGCGCUUACUUUAGCCUUUAUUUCUUUUGUGAUAUGUCUUCCUUAAGGAUUCAUCCAAUGUAAUCCCCACUUCCCUUCUUUUUGAUUUCCCUUCUAUUUAGAUAUGAUAUAGACCUAAUUCUUAUACAAAGAAAACUCUUUCGCUUCACUUUGUCUCACUUUCUCUAGAAUCUCUAGAAAAAAGAAUUGCUCUACCCUUUAUUUAAUGAUAGUCAGAGACUAUUAAAUAAAAAAGAAAAUACUUACUACUAAUUGGAUUAGAACCUAAUUAAAAUAGGAUGAUUAAUAUAUAUUAAAAUAGGAUGAUUAAUAUAUACAUCCUAAUGAGGAGUAAUACUAAAAAAAAGAACUCUAUUUCAGAAUUAUGAAACAGAAUAUCCUGUUUUAUUAUUUACUCUUUCUUUUUUUUUUUCUUUCGAUUUUUUCUAUUUUAUUUAAAGUGGAUCGAUUUAGAUAAUGUAUAUGAUAGUAAUAUACUUCAAAUAAAAUAGGAAUUCGCAAAAUGGAGAAAAUCGUUGCAGUCAUUAUAGGAAAGUAUGGGAAGACUUAGAGCAUAUCCUAUUUAAAGGAGGAUGAAAUUCAAAUCAGGUAAGGGAUCCUUCCUUCUAUUGAUUUGAUCAAAAUUCUUUUUUCUUUUCCUGUCUCUCUGAUUUGCGUUUCGAUGAAUGAGCCUAUGGUAAUGCUUUUAUCUCUAUUCUAUGGCGCAAUCGACCGUCGAGUCUAUAAACAAGUACUAAAUAAGGAAAAGAAAACUAUACUAAAGGAAACAUAAGAUAUCCAUCCUAAAAUGGAAAAAAGACGUAUAUAUUAGGGCUAUACGGAUUCGAACCGUAGACCUUCUCGGUAAAACAGAUCAAACAGAUUAUUAUCGAAAUGAUUCGAACUGUUUCAAAGACCCAACAUGCAUUUUUCUGCAUUGGGCUCUUUCAUCAACUAAUGUAAAGAUCAGUUAAUUCGCCAUAGUUUUUCUUUAGGGAAAGAUAAUAAGAUGGCUCCCUGUGCUCUGAUUGAUUAUUUGUCUUAUGAUCUAUCUAGGAACAAUACCAAAGUGUUUCAAAGGAGGAUUACCUUGACUUAGGUCUGCCUCCGGCCUAAAUUAAAUCAACCUAAGUGAAAUGGAGUCUCUAUCGUUCCGCUGCAAGAGUUUACUAUGAGACUUCAUACACCUUAAAGUUCAUAGAACGAAAAGAAGUUUUUUGGAGGCCCUUAUCCUCAUUACGCCUAGCAUUGAGUGGGCUGGAUAUUUACCUUAUCAACUAGCAAAUCAAUAGGAGUUCUAUUUGAGUAAGCACCUUAAUUGGCACCUGAAUCGGACUGAACCAGCUGUUUGUCAUUGUCAGGCUACUGUUCUUCUAUUCUUUCGAAUCCAUGAAGUAAGACAUUGAUUUUGCAACAAGGUCAAUUAUGUUCAUUGCAUAAAAAGUUCCCUUGAAAAGCAUUGGCGCACGUGUAAACGAGUUGCUCUACCGAACUGAGCUAUAGCCCUUGUCAGAGAUAUCUUAACAUAUAGAUAAUUUCUUGUCAAGAUGAAUAUUCUCUAAUGCCAGAGGAUAUCCCUUUGAUCCGUUUACUAUAUAACAUAAACAUACCAAUAACGGAGCGGUAUUGCUUAUAAAAAGGAUUCAAUCUAUAAUCGAUCGAAGUAAUGGGGCUUCUUUUGUGGUGAUAAAUUGCCUACUUAACUCAGUGGUUAGAGUAUUGCUUUCAUACGGCGGGAGUCAUUGGUUCAAAUCCAAUAGUAGGUAGGUAGGUAGAAAAAUUACUAGAUAGCAUUGGACUUACUUCGCUUCGCUAUCUAAUAACUUUUUCUACCCUUCUUUCCUUUUUCUUUGUAUCAACGAAAUCUUUGGAUUGUCUUCAAUUGGAUGGGGGAAUCCAAUUGACAGCCUCGACUCGUAUCCUAGCUCGUCUGAGAGCUAGCUUCGCUUCAACCAAUUCUUUCGUACCUUCAGCUUUACUCAAGUUAGCUUCGGCUAUUUCAAGUGCCUGUUGAGCUUCUUCUGGAUCAAUGUCACUACCCAGUUCUGCAUCAUUUCCUAAAAUGAUGAUCUCAUUAUUAACUAUUCUUGCAAAACCACUCCACAGAACCGCCGUUAACCAUUGGUCGUUCAGGAGGCGUAUUCUCAAAGGACCCAUAUCUACAGCUGUGUUAAUGGGGGCGUGGUUUGGUAAUACACCAAUUUGGCCACUAUUAGUAGAUAAAAUGAUUUCUUUCACUUCACAAUCCCAAAUAAUUCGUUUAGGAGUCAGUACAUAAAGAUUUAAUUUCAUUUCUUCAAUUUGCUCUCCUCUUCUAAGUUUAUAGCUUUCGUGCUAGCUUCAUCGAUGUUCCCCACUAAAUAAAAAGCCUGUUCGGGUAGGCCGUCUAAUUCUCCGGAAAGGAUUAGUUGAAAUCCCCUAAUUGUUUCUGCAAGACCAACAUACUUUCCUGGAGAACCGGUAAAAACUUCUGCCACAAAGAACGGUUGUGAUAAGAACCGCUCGAUUUUUCGUGCUCUUGCUACAGUUAAACGAUCCUCCUCCGAUAAUUCAUCCAAUCCAAGAAUUGCGAUAAUGUCCUGAAGUUCUUUGUAACGUUGUAAAGUUUCCUUAACUCUUUGCGCAGUUUCAUAAUGUUCGUUGCCAACAAUCCGAGGCUGUAACAUAGUUGAGGUUGAAUCUAAAGGAUCCACUGCGGGAUAAAUACCCUUGGAAGCUAAUCCUCUGGAAAGUACGGUAGUAGCGUCCAAAUGUGCAAAUGUUGUGGCAGGAGCAGGGUCGGUCAAAUCGUCUGCAGGUACAUAAACUGCUUGGAUCGAAGUUAUAGAUCCCUUUUUGGUAGAAGUAAUUCUUUCUUGCAAAGAACCCAUUUCUGUACUAAGGGUAGGUUGAUAACCCACUGCGGAGGGCAUUCUGCCUAAUAAGGCGGAUACUUCCGAUCCUGCUUGAACAAAACGAAAGAUAUUAUCGAUGAAUAAAAGCACGUCUUGCUUAUUAACAUCUCGGAAAUAUUCUGCCAUAGUUAGGGCAGUUAAACCAACUCUCAUACGAGCUCCCGGCGGUUCAUUCAUUUGGCCAUAGACUAGAGCUACCUUUGAUUCCUCAAUAUUUUUUUCAUUAAUUACUCCGGAUUCCUUCAUUUCCAUAUAAAGAUCAUUUCCUUCACGAGUCCGUUCCCCUACUCCGCCAAAUACGGAUACGCCUCCAUGAGCUUUAGCAAUGUUAUUGAUUAAUUCCAUGAUGAGUACUGUUUUACCUACUCCUGCCCCCCCAAACAGUCCGAUUUUUCCUCCACGUCGAUAGGGAGCUAAAAGAUCGACCACCUUAAUACCUGUUUCAAAGAUAGAUAAUUUCGUAUCUAACUCGAUAAAGGCAGGCGCAGAUCUAUGAAUAGGAAAUGUUGCACUAGUAUCCACAGGACCCAAAUUGUCAAUAGGCUCCCCAAGAACGUUAAAAAUUCGUCCGAGAGUAGCUCCACCGACUGGAACACUGAGAGGAGUUCCCGUGUCAAUCACUUCCAUUCCUCUCAUCAACCCCUCUGUAGCACUCAUAGCCACAGCUCUAACUCGAUUAUUUCCUAAUAAUUGUUGUACCUCACAAGUCACAUUAAUUUGCUUAUCGGCAGUGUCUCGACUCUUGACUAUCAAAGCAUUAUAAAUAUAAGGCAACUUGCCCGGGGGAAAAGUGAUAUCCAGCACGGGUCCAAUAAUUUGAUCAAUACGCCCUACGCUUUUUUCUUCAAUUGUGGAAAUCCCGGGACGCGAAGUAGUAGGAUUGGUUCUCAUAAUUAUCACAUAAUUUUCAAAAAAAAAAGGAAUUUGUCGAAAUUUUUUUUCUUGUUGAAUAAUGCCAAAUCAAAAAAAAUAUCCAAAAAUCCAAAAGUCAAAAGGAAAUGAAUUAGUUAAUUCAAUAAAAAAGAAAAGGGGACUCGCACUUGAUUUCGUUGCCCAAGCGAAUCCCAUUCAAUCGUUUACUUAUGGAAUGAAUCCGUUGGAAAGUUCAAUCCAUUUUUUUCAUAUAAAUUUCGCCUUUUGUGAAGGAUCUGUGCCUACUCUACUUUCCUAUCUAGGACUUCGAUAUACAAAAUAUAUACUACUGUGAAGCAUAGAUUGCUGUCAACAGAGAAUUUUCUUAGUAUUUAGGUAUUUAGAUUCAAAAUAUCAAAGGGGAAGAACUUUAAAAAUUGUAAAAUAAAGAUUAGGGUUUGGGUUGCGCUAUAUCUAUCAAAGAGUAUACAAUAAUGAUGGAUUUGGUGAAUCAAAUCCACGGUUUAAUAACGAACCGUGUUAACUUACCAUAACAACAACUCAAUUCCUAUCGAAUUCCUUCCUAUCGAAUUCCUAUAGUAAAAUUCCUAUAGGAUAGAACGUACACAGGGUGUACACAUUAUAUAUGAAUGAAACAUAUUCAUUAACUUAAGCAUACUCCUUUUUUUAUUUAAUGAGUUGAUAUUAAUUAAAUAUCUUUUUUUUUAGAUUUUUGCAAAGGUUUCAUUUACGCCUAAUCCAUAUCGAGUAGACCCUGUCGUUGUGAGAAUUCUUAAUUCAUGAGUUGUAGGGAGGGACUUAUGUCACCACAAACAGAAACUAAAGCAAGUGUUGGAUUUAAAGCUGGUGUUAAGGAUUAUAAAUUGACUUACUACACCCCGGAGUACGAAACCAAGGAUACUGAUAUCUUGGCAGCAUUCCGAGUAACUCCUCAGCUCGGGGUUCCGCCUGAAGAAGCAGGAGCUGCAGUAGCUGCGGAAUCUUCUACUGGUACAUGGACAACUGUUUGGACUGAUGGACUUACCAGUCUUGAUCGUUACAAAGGACGAUGCUAUCACAUCGAGCCCGUUCCUGGGGACCCAGAUCAAUAUAUCUGUUAUGUAGCUUAUCCAUUAGACCUAUUUGAAGAGGGUUCUGUUACUAACAUGUUUACUUCCAUUGUGGGUAACGUAUUUGGUUUCAAAGCCUUACGCGCUCUACGUUUGGAGGAUCUACGAAUUCCCCCUGCUUAUUCAAAAACUUUCCAAGGUCCGCCUCACGGUAUCCAAGUUGAAAGGGAUAAGUUGAACAAGUACGGUCGUCCUUUAUUGGGAUGUACUAUUAAACCAAAAUUGGGAUUAUCCGCAAAAAAUUACGGUAGAGCGUGUUAUGAGUGUCUACGCGGUGGACUUGAUUUUACCAAAGAUGAUGAAAACGUAAACUCACAACCAUUUAUGCGCUGGAGAGACCGUUUUGUCUUUUGUGCCGAAGCAAUUUAUAAAGCACAAGCCGAAACUGGUGAAAUCAAGGGGCAUUACUUGAAUGCGACUGCAGGUACAUGCGAAGAAAUGAUUAAGAGAGCUGUAUUUGCAAGGGAAUUAGGGGUUCCUAUUGUAAUGCAUGACUACUUAACAGGAGGAUUCACCGCAAAUACUACUUUGUCUCAUUAUUGCCGCGACAACGGCCUACUUCUUCACAUUCACCGAGCAAUGCAUGCAGUUAUUGAUAGACAGAAAAAUCAUGGUAUGCAUUUCCGUGUAUUAGCUAAAGCAUUGCGUAUGUCGGGGGGAGAUCAUAUCCACUCCGGUACAGUAGUAGGUAAGUUAGAAGGGGAACGCGAAAUAACUUUAGGUUUUGUUGAUUUAUUGCGCGAUGAUUUUAUUGAAAAAGAUCGUUCUCGCGGUAUCUUUUUCACUCAGGACUGGGUAUCCAUGCCAGGUGUUAUACCGGUGGCUUCUGGGGGUAUUCAUGUUUGGCAUAUGCCAGCUCUGACCGAAAUCUUUGGAGAUGAUUCCGUAUUACAAUUUGGUGGAGGAACUUUAGGACAUCCUUGGGGAAAUGCACCUGGUGCAGCAGCUAAUCGUGUGGCUUUAGAAGCCUGUGUACAAGCUCGUAACGAAGGGCGCGAUCUUGCUCGUGAAGGUAAUGAAAUUAUCAAAGCAGCUUGCAAAUGGAGUGCUGAACUAGCCGCAGCUUGUGAAAUAUGGAAGGAGAUCAAAUUUGAUGGUUUCAAAGCGAUGGAUACCAUAUAAAAUAAAAAAAAAAGCAAAAUAGAAAGAGA
This is an RNA transcript of Zea mays, 31386 nucleotides long. It is a transcript of the gene named DNA-directed RNA polymerase subunit beta''-like, with no coding region annotated. The transcript has a single exon. The record is from RefSeq and is a predicted model, not a curated record. Lineage: Eukaryota; Viridiplantae; Streptophyta; Magnoliopsida; Poales; Poaceae.